This 492-nucleotide ribosomal RNA is filed under the name uncultured bacterium. RNAcentral describes it as "partial 16S ribosomal RNA". It matches the Rfam family "Bacterial small subunit ribosomal RNA", at positions 29 to 507 of the family's 1533-position model. The record is from RNAcentral.
AGUGAACGCUGGCGGUAGGCCUAACACAUGCAAGUCGAACGGCAGCACAGUAAGAGCUUGCUCUUACGGGUGGCGAGUGGCGGACGGGUGAGGAAUACAUCGGAAUCUACUUUUUCGUGGGGGAUAACGUAGGGAAACUUACGCUAAUACCGCAUACGACCUACGGGUGAAUGCAGGGGAUCUUCGGACCUUGCGCGAUUGAAUGAGCCGAUGUCGGAUUAGCUAGUUGGCGGGGUAAAGGCCCACCAAGGCGACGAUCCGUAGCUGGUCUGAGAGGAUGAUCAGCCACACUGGAACUGAGACACGGUCCAGACUCCUACGGGAGGCAGCAGUGGGGAAUAUUGGACAAAGGGCGCAAGCCUGAUCCAGCCAUACCGCGUGGGUGAAGAAGGCCUUCGGGUUGUAAAGCCCUUUUGUUGGGAAAGAAAAGCAGCAGGUUAAUACCCCGCUGUUCUGACGGUACCCAAAGAAUAAGCACCGGCUAACUUCGUG